RNAcentral lists this long non-coding RNA (2129 nucleotides) under Homo sapiens (human). RNAcentral's name for it is "HSALNT0283351". Lineage: Eukaryota; Metazoa; Chordata; Mammalia; Primates; Hominidae. The record is from RNAcentral.
CCAAAGCCUACACUCAUUCUUCAUUUGUUCCUACCACUGGCAUCUACACUGAACAUGUUGGGGCCUAGCACCCAUUUAGGCCCUGGGCAUACGGACUUCAGUAAGACACAAUAUGGCGCUUUUGGACAAUGGAAAGAAGCAAGGUAAGGAAGCUGAAUCUCAGAGAAGUGAGUUGCCUAAAAUCACAUAGCCAGUAAACAGUGGUGCAAGGAUUCAGUUCCAGGCUCUGAUGAGUAUCCCAGGCAGGGGCUGGCAAGAGGAUGGCUUCUUUAUGGACCUCAGGGCAGUGGGCUUGUCCUGUUGGAUCCUGGCACUUUGCCUUCCAGGUAAAGACAUCUGCCAAAAGGCCAUUCCUUGCUAUUCUGCCCAACGGUACCCAGUUCUCCAGCAACUUUCUUCCCACCAAAUAUCCUGGCUCAAGUUCCCAAGUCUCCAGGAAACUUCCUUAAGCAAGUAGUAAAGCACCUACUGCAUAUGAGGCACUAUCCAAUACUUGGGCUUGAUUAUUUCUCACCAUAUCUUUAUAAGGCAGGGCUACUUAGUUACAUUGUGCAGAGGAGGAGACCGAGGUUCAGAGAGGAGAAGUUAUUGGUCCAAGGUGAUCCAACUAGCAAUUGAAAGAGCUGGGAUUUCAAUUCAGAUCUGUCUGGCCCCAAAGCUGAUACUCAUUCCACUUGACUAUACACUCUCCUCCGAAUUCCUGAAGAACUUCUUUUAUGAGCUGCAGUAUCUCACACCUGGAACGAAGUUGCUUUGGCUUGCUCUACUUGUUUCUGGAGUCCACCUGACUACAGUAUGUAGAUUCUCAGAAUUUUAGAAACUUAUGGAUCCAUUCGUUUAAGGACUUAAUACUAUAGAAGGGAAAACUGAGGCCCAGAGAGGGCAUGUAGGUGGCACAUAAUACAUUCAUUGUUUUCUUCAUGAGAUGUAAGCCCCUUGAAGACAGGAACCAUGCCUCCCCCUACAUUUCUUAUACAUAUCCCCAACACACACAGACACACAGAUGCACACCCCACUUGAUGCAGUAUUUAGCACAAAUAAAAACUAUGACUUGUUAAGUGACAGGGACUGCUGGGUGCCAGUUAUCUUACUUGACUUUCACAGCAACCCUAUGUGGUUCAAUUUCUAGAUAAGAUUGAGGAUCAGAGAGGGAAAGUGGUGUGUCCAAGGUCACACAGUAAGGUAUUGGCUGAGGCAGGAUUCGAAUUUCAGGUCUGACAGACCCUUUCUGUCAUUCUGCAUGAUCACUUUAACAACAGCAUAACAACAGCUAAUGUUUAUUGAAUGAGUACUAUACGUGAAGGACUAGCUAAGUGAGUAAUCUAAUACAAGUAAUUAAUUCAAUCUUUACAAUAACCCUAUGAAAUUUCCUCACUCUACAGAUGAUAAAACGGUUGCUUAGGAAAGCUGAGAAACUUGCCCAAAGCCAAAAAAACUAGUGAGUGGCUGAGCCAGGUUGAUUUGAUCCAAGGUUGAUCUUACCCACACUAUAAAAGGUCCUCUUUAUCUGCAGAUAAUUGAUAUUGGAGGGAAAAUUCCACUGAAAGAGAAUCGUUUAAAUUGUCAUAGUAAAAAAAGAAUAGGUUUACUUAGAUUUCUCAUUAAAAAAUGAAACCAAAAAGUAUGAUAAGCAAUUUCUCUUAUAUUUUAAAAAAUAGGGCUGAAAUUAUAGUUCUGUUCUAGUUCUUAGGGCAGGCAAAAACAACGACUCAAACAUUAGUUGCUUUGUGGUGUGAUUUUUCUGACAAAACUGUAGGACAUCAUGGCAUAACAUCUUUUACUUUGCUUUUCAUAGCAUGAUCAUAAAGAAGGUCAUUUUAUUAAAAGUAUUCAAGGACUUUGGUUUUCCUAAGGAUAUCUCUCAAUAAUUUGUGAGUCAACUCAUUUUUGAAGCUUUUAUUUUGUUCUCAUCCUUGUUGACUUGCUCGUCAACUUUUAACUGAUCUAAUUCUGCCAGCCUUCUCUUGUGUCAAUGGCUUUGCUGAGAUGCUGGAAGUUUUCCAAUAUCACUUUUGUUGAUUUCAUGAACUCCUGAAUCUUUUCUAAUAUUUGCAGUUUUACUUUGCAAACUCAUUGGCAUUGUAUUUUCUCUUUACGUUCUGGUGUUUAUAAUACUCAACAAUCAGAAA